GUACCUGGUGGCGAGCGGCGGACGGGUGAGUAAUGCCUAGGAAUCUGCCUGGUAGUGGGGGAUAACGCUCGGAAACGGACGCUAAUACCGCAUACGUCCUACGGGAGAAAGCAGGGGACCUUCGGGCCUUGCGCUAUCAGAUGAGCCUAGGUCGGAUUAGCUAGUUGGUNGAGGUAAUGGCUCACCAAGGCGACGAUCCGUAACUGGUCUGAGAGGAUGAUCAGUCACACUGGAACUGAGACACGGUCCAGACUCCUACGGGAGGCAGCAGUGGGGAAUAUUGGACAAUGGGCGAAAGCCUGAUCCAGCCAUGCCGCGUGUGUGAAGAAGGUCUUCGGAUUGUAAAGCACUUUAAGUUGGGAGGAAGGGCAUUAACCUAAUACGUUAGUGUUUUGACGUUACCGACAGAAUAAGCACCGACUAACUCUGUGCCAGCAGCCGCGGUAAUACAGAGGGUGCAAGCGUUAAUCGGAAUUACUGGGCGUAAAGCGCGCGUAGGUGGUUUGUUAAGUUGGAUGUGAAAUCCCCGGGCUCAACCUGGGAACUGCA
This 549-nucleotide ribosomal RNA is filed under the name uncultured bacterium. Its description in RNAcentral is "bacterial SSU rRNA". It matches the Rfam family "Bacterial small subunit ribosomal RNA", at positions 81 to 625 of the family's 1533-position model. The record is from RNAcentral.